AUUGAACGCUGGCGGCAGGCCUAACACAUGCAAGUCGAGCGGAUGAAGGGAGCUUGCUCCUGGAUUCAGCGGCGGACGGGUGAGUAAUGCCUAGGAAUCUGCCUGGUAGUGGGGAUAACGUCCGGAAACGGGCGCUAAUACCGCAUACGUCCUGAGGGAGAAAGUGGGGGAUCUUCGGACCUCACGCUAUCAGAUGAGCCUAGGUCGGAUUAGCUAGUUGGUGGGGUAAAGGCCUACCAAGGCGACGAUCCGUAACUGGUCUGAGAGGAUGAUCAGUCACACUGGAACUGAGACACGGUCCAGACUCCUACGGGAGGCAGCAGUGGGGAAUAUUGGACAAUGGGCGAAAGCCUGAUCCAGCCAUGCCGCGUGUGUGAAGAAGGUCUUCGGAUUGUAAAGCACUUUAAGUUGGGAGGAAGGGCAGUAAGUUAAUACCUUGCCGUUUUGACGUUACCAACAGAAUAAGCACCGGCUAACUUCGUG
RNAcentral lists this ribosomal RNA (483 nucleotides) under uncultured bacterium. RNAcentral describes it as "partial 16S ribosomal RNA". It matches the Rfam family "Bacterial small subunit ribosomal RNA", at positions 30 to 507 of the family's 1533-position model. The record is from RNAcentral.